This 536-nucleotide ribosomal RNA is filed under the name uncultured bacterium. RNAcentral describes it as "partial 16S ribosomal RNA". It matches the Rfam family "Bacterial small subunit ribosomal RNA", at positions 355 to 901 of the family's 1533-position model. The record is from RNAcentral.
UGGGGAAUUUUGGACAAUGGGCGAAAGCCUGAUCCAGCAAUGCCGCGUGUGUGAAGAAGGCCUUCGGGUUGUAAACCUCUUUUAGCAGGGAAGAAGCGAAAGUGACGGUACCUGCAGAAAAAGCACCGGCUAACUACGUGCCAGCAGCCGCGGUAAUACGUAGGGUGCAAGCGUUGUCCGGAAUUAUUGGGCGUAAAGAGCUCGUAGGCGGUCUGUCGCGUCUGCUGUGAAAUCCCGAGGCUCAACCUCGGGCCUGCAGUGGGUACGGGCAGACUAGAGUGCGGUAGGGGAGAAUGGAACUCCUGGUGUAGCGGUGGAAUGCGCAGAUAUCAGGAAGAACACCGAUGGCGAAGGCAGUUCUCUGGGCCGUAACUGACGCUGAGGAGCGAAAGCGUGGGGAGCGAACAGGAUUAGAUACCCUGGUAGUCCACGCCGUAAACGUUGGGCGCUAGAUGUGGGGACCAUUCCACGGUUUCCGUGUCGCAGCUAACGCAUUAAGCGCCCCGCCUGGGGAGUACGGCCGCAAGGCUAAAACU